CACAUGCAGUCGAACGAUGAAGCCAGCUUGCUGGUGGAUUAGUGGCGAACGGGUGAGUAACACGUGAGUAACCUGCCCUUGACUCUGGGAUAAGCCUGGGAAACCGGGUCUAAUACUGGAUACGACCUCCGGCCGCAUGGUCUGGUGGUGGAAAGCUUUUUUGUGGUUUUGGAUGGACUCGCGGCCUAUCAGCUUGUUGGUGGGGUAAUGGCCUACCAAGGCGACCACUGGUAGCCGGCCUGAGAGGGUGACCGGCCACACUGGGACUGAGACACGGCCCAGACUCCUACGGGAGGCAGCAGUGGGGAAUAUUGCACAAUGGGCGCAAGCCUGAUGCAGCGACGCCCGUGAGGGAUGAAGGCCUUCGGGUUGAAACCUCUUUCAUAGGGAAGAAGCGAAAGUGACGGU
This 408-nucleotide ribosomal RNA is filed under the name Arthrobacter sp. RNAcentral's name for it is "bacterial SSU rRNA". It matches the Rfam family "Bacterial small subunit ribosomal RNA", at positions 52 to 476 of the family's 1533-position model. The record is from RNAcentral. Lineage: Bacteria; Bacillati; Actinomycetota; Actinomycetes; Micrococcales; Micrococcaceae.